RNAcentral lists this ribosomal RNA (442 nucleotides) under uncultured bacterium. RNAcentral describes it as "SSU rRNA". It matches the Rfam family "Bacterial small subunit ribosomal RNA", at positions 26 to 518 of the family's 1533-position model. The record is from RNAcentral.
AGAGCGAACGCUGGCGGCAGGCUUAACACAUGCAAGUCGAGCGCCCCGCAAGGGGAGCGGCAGACGGGAGAGUAACACGUGGGAACGUACCUUUCGGUUCGGAACAACCCAGGGAAACUUGGGCUAAUACCGGAUACGCCCGCAAGGGGAAAGAUUUAUCGCCGGAAGGUCGGCCCGCGUCUGAUUAGCUAGUUGGUGAGGUAACGGCUCACCAAGGCGACGAUCAGUAGCUGGUCUGAGAGGAUGAUCAGCCUCACUGGGACUGAGGCACGGCCCAGACUCCUACGGGAGGCAGCAGUGGGGAAUAUUGGACAAUGGGCGCAAGCCUGAUCCAGCCAUGCCGCGUGGGUGAUGAAGGCCCUAGGGUUGUAAAGCCCUUUCGGCGGGGAAGAUAAUGACGGUACCGCAGAAGAAGCCCGGCUAACUUCGUGCCAGCAGCCGC